This is a non-coding RNA of Paramuricea clavata, 1110 nucleotides long. Lineage: Eukaryota; Metazoa; Cnidaria; Anthozoa; Malacalcyonacea; Plexauridae. The record is from the annotation of a GenBank genome assembly.
UUCGGCCGGGGGUUUGGGCUCACAGAAGCGUACACCAUUGACAGCAAAUAUAUGCAUCAACUCCUCCUGUUCCUUGGCAAUUACUAAAUCUUGAUUUUUAAUGAGCUUGCAAAACGCUUUAUGCGCUGCAGCCAUAAGGGCCCCUGUCACAGUUACGCCCUUGGAUCUACAAACGUUGCGAAUUUGUGAUGUGUGUGUCUCAGAAAAUACUUUGUAUACCAAGUCACAUACUUCAAGCGAGGGUUGUGUCAUGAAAAAUGGGUAGGGUUUUUCGGGUUUGGAGGCUAAUAAGAUGGAUAACUUUAGUCUUUUCAUGAAUUUAUACAUGAAAUGCAAUCCUACAUAUUCCUGUAAAUCCGUCCAGGAAGAUCUUGAUCGAGUUUUACUGAUCAUCGCAUAAAAACUUGGCAACAGCUCAUGACUCGGAACAUCUUCGCCGCCAACUCGUGUGUUUUCGGCAACACUAUUAAGGUAGCUCAAGAAUUGGUUGCAUAAACUCAUCCCCGAUACCCCGUCAACGAUACUGUGAUUUACACGGAAAACUAUAGUGUUCACGUAGUUCUCGCUAUCUGGAAGAUAUUCCCCUGCGAACAAAACUGCUCGCUAUAGUAAGCCAGUUUUUAUCUGGCUCAUAGCGGUAUCGUACCACGCUUUUUGCCACUGCGAUGCGUUGACAUCAGACGUUGUUAGGUCAAUCAUGUCUCCAAUUUUAUUCGCUUCAAUUAUCUCGAAAUAUCUUUCAUUGCUUUUCCGAAACCACGAGGAAUUUGAAACAAUUUUAAUAACAGCUCGAAGCAAUGGUUGCCGUUUGGCUAAACAUAGUAAAGCGUCACGAACAAGCGAUUCUUUGAGUUUCUUUUUCGAAUGCAAGAACAAGUGUCUGAGGUGCCUUGUCGUUCAUUACUAAAUAUCUCCAUACUUUCUUCAAACUUGCCCAAACGUCGGCUUGAGGAAGAUGGUCGAGAUUCUGACUCAUGACUUGCAUGUACCGCGGCUCUCCUAAAUAAGCCUCGUGUUAGGAUGUAAAUAAAUAUAAUCGCUAAAAGUGCGAUGAAAAUUUGAGCAAGAAUCGACAUAGUAUUUAUGUGAAGUCUGUGAAGCGUAUUACAU